UACCGAGUGCGGGCCCUCUGGGUCCAACCUCCCAUCCGUGUCUAUCUGUACCCUGUUGCUUCGGCGUGGCCACGGCCCGCCGAAGACUAACAUUUGAACACUGUCUGAAGUUUGCAGUCUGAGUUUUUAGUUAAACAAUAAUUAAAACUUUCAACAACGGAUCUCUUGGUUCCGGCAUCGAUGAAGAACGCAGCGAAAUGCGAUAAUUAAUGUGAAUUGCAGAAUUCAGUGAAUCAUCGAGUCUUUGAACGCACAUUGCGCCCCCUGGUAUUCCGGGGGGCAUGCCUGUCCGAGCGUCAUUGCUGCCCUCAAGCACGGCUUGUGUGUUGGGCUUCCGUCCCUGGUAACGGGGACGGGCCCAAAAGGCAGUGGCGGCACCAUGUCUGGUCCUCGAGCGUAUGGGGCUUUGUCACCCGCUCCCGUAGGUCCAGCUGGCAGCUAGCCUCGCAACCAAUCUUUUUAACCAGGUUGACCUCGGAUCAGGUAGGGAUACCCGCUGAACUUAAGCAUAUCA
This 514-nucleotide unclassified non-coding RNA is filed under the name Aspergillus proliferans. RNAcentral's name for it is "sequence contains ITS1, 5.8S rRNA gene and ITS2". The stretch from base 146 to 299 matches the Rfam family "5.8S ribosomal RNA". Lineage: Eukaryota; Fungi; Ascomycota; Eurotiomycetes; Eurotiales; Aspergillaceae. The record is from RNAcentral. RNAcentral also lists the same sequence under 2 other names.